RNAcentral lists this ribosomal RNA (413 nucleotides) under Odorrana chapaensis (Chapa torrent frog). RNAcentral's name for it is "partial 16S ribosomal RNA". It matches the Rfam family "Bacterial large subunit ribosomal RNA", at positions 1833 to 2459 of the family's 2925-position model. The record is from RNAcentral. Lineage: Eukaryota; Metazoa; Chordata; Amphibia; Anura; Ranidae.
CUUGACUUAAAUAUAAGAGGUCCAGCCUGCCCAGUGACAAAAUUCAACGGCCGCGGUAUACUAACCGUGCGAAGGUAGCAUAAUCACUUGUUCUUUAAAUAGGGACUAGUAUCAACGGCAUCACGAGGGCUAUACUGUCUCCUCCCUCCAAUCAGUGAAACUGAUCCCCCCGUGAAGAAGCGGGGAUUUGACUAUAAGACGAGAAGACCCCAUGGAGCUUUAAACCCAAUAUAUACCCCCUCCCCAAGCAUCAACUUAAUCUAGCGGGCCUGUAUACUGGUUUUAGGCUGGGGGGGCCACGGAGUAAAAUUAAACCUCCACAACAAAUGGGCUAAUACCCUUACCCACGAUUUUAUAAAUCUAAGAAUCAUCAAAAUGAUGUCAAAUGACCCGAUAAUUCGAUCAAUGAACCA